GAGGGUAUAGCUCAGUGGUAGAGUGCCUGCUUAGCAUGCACAAGGUCCUGAGUUCAAUCCCCAGUCCCUCU
RNAcentral lists this transfer RNA (71 nucleotides) under Camelus bactrianus (Bactrian camel). It matches the Rfam family "tRNA". From Rfam's summary of the family: Transfer RNA (tRNA) molecules are approximately 80 nucleotides in length. Their secondary structure includes four short double-helical elements and three loops (D, anti-codon, and T loops). Further hydrogen bonds mediate the characteristic L-shaped molecular structure. tRNAs have two regions of fundamental functional importance: the anti-codon, which is responsible for specific mRNA codon recognition, and the 3' end, to which the tRNAs corresponding amino acid is attached (by aminoacyl-tRNA synthetases). tRNAs cope with the degeneracy of the genetic code in two manners: having more than one tRNA (with a specific anti-codon) for a particular amino acid; and 'wobble' base-pairing, i.e. permitting non-standard base-pairing at the 3rd anti-codon position. Lineage: Eukaryota; Metazoa; Chordata; Mammalia; Artiodactyla; Camelidae. RNAcentral also lists the same sequence under 2 other names. The record is from Rfam by way of RNAcentral.